AAAGUAAUAAAGCCAGAACGGCAGAGUUACAAGAUGCUGAAAACAGCUUACAAACAUCAAGGACCAAGCAAAUGAAAGAUUACAAAGAACACAACUUGGCUUCGAUGCCAUCAUCUAAAGGAGAAGGCAAAGCGAAGUAGAGGCAAUGACAGACAAGUGGGAGGUGCACUAGUGAGCUGGAGUACCCAGGCAUAACCGAGACAUGUCUAGUUUCUUCUUUUCUGCCGAUAAGCAUUAGUUGUGCAACGGAUUUCCUAUCACUGGAAUGUUGCCUUUGAGAGCAUUUUUGUAGCAAAUAAGACUGCAGUAUGGUGCGGUGGCUGCAAUGCUUGGCCUCAGGACAACUCUUGGUGCUGCUACUGUGAUGGGCACAACUUCUGGUGCCUCCUCAUUCAGCUUUGUCCUUGCUAACUUGCGAUGUUGGAAAGCGAUGGCCUUCCUCUACAUCUCAGUGUUUUGGUGUGCAGGUUGCUGAGCUGAGUGAGAUUGAGAGGCGCUGGCUCAAGAUGGGCUGACCUGGAUGAUGCCCCGAGGUCCUGCAAACGAGAAUGCCGAGUUGGGCCUGGCAGUUGGCGAGCCCCCUCCUGCCCUAAC
Long non-coding RNA from Lolium rigidum, 594 nucleotides. RefSeq lists it as uncharacterized. NCBI's taxonomy places the organism in Eukaryota, Viridiplantae, Streptophyta, Magnoliopsida, Poales, Poaceae. The record is from RefSeq and is a predicted model, not a curated record. The transcript has 4 exons.